Molecule: long non-coding RNA, 2037 nt
Organism: Piliocolobus tephrosceles (Ugandan red Colobus)
Lineage: Eukaryota; Metazoa; Chordata; Mammalia; Primates; Cercopithecidae
Exons: 5
Source: RefSeq, a predicted model, not a curated record
UGGUGUUGUUUGCAUAGAGUUCUCGGUUUCUGGCUUGUUAAAUUGAGAGGCACCCCAGCUUCUUGGAGGGAUUGGAGUGUUGAGUGGCUCCUCAGGGAGGUGCAGGAGAACAGCACUGGGUGAGGGGUCAGGAGAUGAGGGUCUGGGUCCGUCUUCAAAUGCAGAAAUUGAGAGCAGAGUUUUCAAAGGCCUCUUCCAGCGCUGACGUUUUCUGACUGUGAAAGGGUUGGGUGUGAUAAAGAAGAAAAGUUGAAGACUUAAAAGGAGGAAGUGUGAGGGUCUUCAGCCUCCUGUGUGAGGGAGAACGAUUUAGAUUGCUGGAUAUCACAGGCAAACAAUGUGCAAUGGCUGUGGGUAACAUUUGCAGAACUUCAUCUAAAUACUUCCAGAAUGAAAAACUGAUGCCAGCUUCUAACCCCCAAGCUCCAUUACACAGACCCAAGCCUAAGGACCUUUUGUAUACCACUUCUAUGGGAAGGCGUCACAGAGUGGAGAUGUUAGACCUAAAGGUUCCAUAUUAGCAACAGGAUCAUCUUUUUGCCUUGGGUCCCAUACCUUCACAGUUCCUGCCAUGCAUAAAACUUCUUUCAAGUCCCCAAUGAGAACUGUCAUCAUUCAACUUGAAAUUCUAAUCCAAGCUCACUAUACGUAGUGCUCAAAGACGAUCUAUCCAAGACCCCCACAGAUGAAUCACCAGAUAUGAAAGUUUCAGCACUUCAUGUGAUAUUCUUUAAGAUCCUCAGCAGAAAUGAGAACAUAAUGAAGAUAUUAUCUUUCCAGAUGGUUAUGGGAACAAAAAUGUUACGUGUCUCUUAUAGUUUUCCCUGCAGAACCCUAUAAACUAAAGAUGUUUAUGUCCCACUUUCUCUGGGGCCUUUUCAAUGCAGAGAGAUUUAUAAACCUGUGUGUAUAAAGGCACUACUAUUGGUAUGGAUCAGCCAAUCUUUUAAGGUUUCUUUACUUUAAAAGGCUACUGCUCCAAGUAUCAUAUAUAAUCACAUUAGUAAAACAAUCCCAUACAAAUAUAUUAUUUAAGGUAUGGGGCUUAUGGAAAUCAGGUGAAGAAUGACUAUGUAGCCAAAAAGGUCCUUGGAAAGGAUCUAAUACAAUACUCUCCUGUCAUAAAAGGAGACCAAAGCAUAGGGCUUUACACAUUUGCCCACCUCAUACAACAUUCAACAUUUAAUGGUUGCUACUACAUGCAAGUCACUGAACUAGGCAAAAAAGGAUACAAAGAUGAAUGAGAUUGGCCAGUCCCUCAAAAAGCUAACAACUCAAAUAUCAGUUCCCAUCUGGUUGCUCCAAAAUAUACAUAUUCAUUAUACUACUCCUACACCUCCCUGGGUCUUCUAUUCACCUUCUUUUACUUCCUGAUGUUUCUGGUUUCUCCAUGGCCCCUCCCGCCACCAACUCUACCUGCCCAGGUCACUAAAGUCCCUCCUACAGUCUAACUGCUUUUCCUGCUGCCUUGGCUCCUGUGAUCUCUGGAAUCUGGAAUUAGAUGAGGCCACUGAUGUCUGUCCCACACCACACUCUUGCCAUAUAACACUUCCCAUUGACUGUCAGCCUCAAUGGGGCAAAACUAUCCCUCUUGGUCUCUAACAAUUUUUACAUUUUUAAAUUCUUAAUGUUUAUAAAAGUAAUACCUGCUCCCUAUAAAAAUUCAAACAAAACAAAAGGAUGGAAGGAAAAAGUGAGUCCCUUUAACACUUUCCAGAAGUAAUCCCCAUCCUUCUAGAUCUUCUACGCAUUUACAAACACGCGUUUGUUUCAAUACAAGGCAAAUCACAGUACACUGUCGUUUGAUUUGUUUCACUUAACAAUACAUCUAGAUAAACUUUAUUCCUUUUGCAGGGUUCUCCAGUUUCCAGGACAUCUCCCCUUGUAACUCUGCAGUUUUCAUCCCUCCCAGGUUGACCUGUUUCAAAUCAUUUUAAAAAUAAUUUCCCUGCCUCUUUCAGUGUUUAUCCAGGCAUUUCCAUAUAGGUAUACAUACCAAUUUCCAUGAAUAAAAUAAAAGUCACUUAACACAAACUA